UGAAGCGGGAAGAGCUCAUUCUGUGAAUCUGUAUACUAUUUUUGGUAUACCGAGUUGUGGAAUAUAGAAGCACAUCAGUUCGAGUUCUGGUCUAAGUCUCUUGGAAAAGAGCAGCUUAGAGGGUGACACUCCCGUUCUUGGCUAGAACUCAAACUUUAGCAUGUGGUUUCGACGAGUCGAGUUGCUUGGGAUUGCAGCUCAAAGUUGGUGGUAAAUUCCAUCUAAAGCUAAAUAUCGGUGGGAGACCGAUAGCGUACAAGUACCGUGAGGGAAAGAUGCAAAGAACUUUGAAAAAAGAGUUAAAGAGUACCUGAAAUUGCUGAAAUGGAAGCGAAGGAAACCAGUGCCGUUCUAUACCAUUUUUCUGUUCUUGCUUGCGAGAAUAGCGCUGUGGUUUAGUACAGGCCAGCGUGAGUUUGAGCCGAAGGAAGCAGCUUUGC
RNAcentral lists this ribosomal RNA (440 nucleotides) under Chaetoceros sp. SB-2012. Its description in RNAcentral is "eukaryotic LSU rRNA". It matches the Rfam family "Eukaryotic large subunit ribosomal RNA", at positions 94 to 530 of the family's 3401-position model. Lineage: Eukaryota; Bacillariophyta; Thalassiosirophyceae; Chaetocerotales; Chaetocerotaceae. The record is from RNAcentral.